AGUCGAGCGGAUGAAGGGAGCUUGCUCCUGGAUUCAGCGGCGGACGGGUGAGUAAUGCCUAGGAAUCUGCCUGGUAGUGGGGGAUAACGUCCGGAAACGGGCGCUAAUACCGCAUACGUCCUGAGGGAGAAAGUGGGGGAUCUUCGGACCUCACGCUAUCAGAUGAGCCUAGGUCGGAUUAGCUAGUUGGUGGGGUAAAGGCCUACCAAGGCGACGAUCCGUAACUGGUCUGAGAGGAUGAUCAGUCACACUGGAACUGAGACACGGUCCAGACUCCUACGGGAGGCAGCAGUGGGGAAUAUUGGACAAUGGGCGAAAGCCUGAUCCAGCCAUGCCGCGUGUGUGAAGAAGGUCUUCGGAUUGUAAAGCACUUUAAGUUGGGAGGAAGGGCAGUAAGUUAAUACCUUGCUGUUUUGACGUUACCAACAGAAUAAGCACCGGCUAACUUCGUGCCAGCAGCCGCGGUAAUACGAAGGGUGCAAGCGUUAAUCGGAAUUACUGGGCGUAAAGCGCGCGUAGGUGGUUCAGCAAGUUGGAUGUGAAAUCCCCGGGCUCAACCUGGGAACUGCAUCCAAAACUACUGAGCUAGAGUACGGUAGAGGGUGGUGGAAUUUCCUGUGUAGCGGUGAAAUGCGUAGAUAUAGGAAGGAACACCAGUGGCGAAGGCGACCACCUGGACUGAUACUGACACUGAGGUGCGAAAGCGUGGGGAGCAAACAGGAUUAGAUACCCUGGUAGUCCACGCCGUAAACGAUGUCGACUAGCCGUUGGGAUCCUUGAGAUCUUAGUGGCGCAGCUAACGCGAUAAGUCGACCGCCUGGGGAGUACGGCCGCAAGGUUAAAACUCAAAUGAAUUUGACGGGGGCCCGCACAAGCGGGG
Molecule: ribosomal RNA, 880 nt
Filed under: Pseudomonas sp.
Lineage: Bacteria; Pseudomonadati; Pseudomonadota; Gammaproteobacteria; Pseudomonadales; Pseudomonadaceae
Description: bacterial SSU rRNA
Rfam family: Bacterial small subunit ribosomal RNA
Source: RNAcentral